UACGUAGGUGACCAGCGUUGUCCGGAUUUACUGGGCGUAAAGAGCGCGCAGGCGGUCGUUCAAGUCGAGUGUGAAAGCCCCCGGCUCAACUGGGGAGGGUCACUCGAUACUGAUCGACUUGAAGGCAGGAGAGGGAAGCGGAAUUCCCGGUGUAGUGGUGAAAUGCGUAGAUAUCGGGAGGAACAUCAGUGGCGAAGGCGGCCUUCUGGUCCAGUACUGACACUCAAGUGCGAAAGCGUGGGGAGCAAACAGG
This 253-nucleotide ribosomal RNA is filed under the name uncultured bacterium. RNAcentral's name for it is "partial 16S ribosomal RNA". It matches the Rfam family "Bacterial small subunit ribosomal RNA", at positions 524 to 776 of the family's 1533-position model. The record is from RNAcentral.